This 1410-nucleotide ribosomal RNA is filed under the name Triticum aestivum (bread wheat). Its description in RNAcentral is "partial small subunit ribosomal RNA". The record is from RNAcentral. Lineage: Eukaryota; Viridiplantae; Streptophyta; Magnoliopsida; Poales; Poaceae.
AUGGGCCGAGAAGCCCAACCCAUCUUAUCUGACAGUUUGUCCUCUCUUGCGGCUUUACCUGCAGCUUAUAAUUUUAUUAUUGAUAAGUUUAGAGCUAAACUUAAUUGCUACAAGGCUAACAGGUUGUCUCAUGCAGGAAGACUCACUCUUAUUAAAUCUGGUUUUGCUUCCCUUCCUGUGUAUUACAUGUCUAAUAUCCUUUUAAGUAAAUCCACCAUUAAUAAACUCACUUCCAUAAUUAGAAAGUUCUGGUGGACAGGUAUUGAUAAGGAUAAUGCUUCCAAACCUAUCUGCUUUAGGGCUCGGGAUGAUAUUUGCAAACCUAUGCAUCAAGGUGGUCUAGGCAUUAGAGAUCUUUAUAUGAUGAAUAAGUCUAUGGUUGCUAUGAUGGCUUGGAGAGUUAUUAAGAGUCCUAAUUUUCUUGUUACGAAAGUUCUCAAAGCCAAAUAUUUUCAUAACUCUUCUAUUUGGAAAGUGAAUGGCAAUGUUCCUAAAUCUGCUUUCUGGUCCUCUAUUCUCAAAGUUCUUCCUUUCAUUAGCAAGGCUAGUCAUACUCAAAUUGCUAAUGGUAAUACUUGUAUUUGGACUAGUCCUUGGUGCAAUGAUUGGGACAAUAUUUAUGAUCACCUUAAACCUAAUCUAGGUAUCCCUUGUCCUAAAGUUGUUAGUGAUCUUUGGAAACCAAAUUGUAAGAGUUGGGAUGAGGAUAAAAUUAAUAUCUUUUUCGAUGAUAAUUUCAAGAGAAAUAUUUUACAAACUCCUAUCAUUAAUGCUAAUAUGGACGACACUUUAUGUUGGAUUCAUACCCCUAAUGCAGAGUGUACCACUAAAAAUGCUUAUAAAGCUUUGAUGCAGGAGGCCCAACCCAGGUUACAAUCUCAAAAUCACACUAUUUCAGAUUCUAAAAUUUCUAUUCUCAAUCAGGUUUGGAAAAGCAAAAACCUGGCUCCAAGAGUCAAAACCUUUGCAUGGAGAAUUCUAAGAAGAGCUUUAGCUUCAGGGCUUAGGGGAUCCAGGUAUUCUACUCACAUUAAAAAGGAAUGUUGCAGGUGCGGCGAGGCGGAGACAGACUUGCAUCUUUUCUUUACUUGCAAUUUCACUAGAGCUAUUUGGUUCCUAUUUGGUCUCAAGUCUGAUGAGUUCAAUCAUAACUUAUAUCCUUCUGAUGUGAUUCAAAGGAUUUUAUCUUCUCAUCAUGCUGACUUAGAUCUGGAUACCAGUUUCACGUUGCUUUGGAAUAUUUGGAAAGCGAGGAAUGAUCUUCUUUUUAAUAAGAAAAAAUGGAGUAUUAUGCAAGUUAUAUAUGCUACAAACGCUAUGCUAAAUGCGGAGUUAAUGGAGGAGAAGGCGGCGGCUCACAUCAACCCUGCAAACAAUAAUAUUUCUCCUUUUCACGUUCAAAAUAUAUAG